Molecule: non-coding RNA, 65 nt
Organism: Dipodomys ordii (Ord's kangaroo rat)
Lineage: Eukaryota; Metazoa; Chordata; Mammalia; Rodentia; Heteromyidae
Source: Rfam
GGUAGCUUAGUGGUAGAGUGCUUGCCUAGCAUGCAUGAAGCCCUGGGUUCGAUUCCUCAGUACCA